This 468-nucleotide ribosomal RNA is filed under the name uncultured bacterium. RNAcentral's name for it is "partial 16S ribosomal RNA". It matches the Rfam family "Bacterial small subunit ribosomal RNA", at positions 28 to 507 of the family's 1533-position model. The record is from RNAcentral.
GACGAACGCUGGCGGCGUGCUUAACACAUGCAAGUCGAACGGAAAGGCCCUGCUUUUGUGGGGUGCUCGAGUGGCGAACGGGUGAGUAACACGUGAGUAACCUGCCCUUGACUUUGGGAUAACUUCAGGAAACUGGGGCUAAUACCGGAUAGGAGCUCCUGCUGCAUGGUGGGGGUUGGAAAGUUUCGGCGGUUGGGGAUGGACUCGCGGCUUAUCAGCUUGUUGGUGGGGUAGUGGCUUACCAAGGCUUUGACGGGUAGCCGGCCUGAGAGGGUGACCGGCCACAUGGGGACUGAGAUACGGCCCAGACUCCUACGGGAGGCAGCAGUGGGGAAUAUUGCACAAUGGGCGGAAGCCUGAUGCAGCAACGCCGCGUGCGGGAUGACGGCCUUCGGGUUGUAAACCGCUUUCGCCUGUGACGAAGCGUGAGUGACGGUAAUGGAUAAAGAAGCACCGGCUAACUACGUG